CGAGAGAUCGUAUCCUUCAGUUCGGCUGGAUCGGAGACAGGUGCUGCAUGGCUGUCGUCAGCUCGUGUCGUGAGAUGUUGGGUUAAGUCCCGCAACGAGCGCAACCCUCGCCCUUAGUUGCCAGCAUUCAGUUGGGCACUCUAAGGGGACUGCCGGUGAUAAGCCGAGAGGAAGGUGGGGAUGACGUCAAGUCCUCAUGGCCCUUACGGGCUGGGCUACACACGUGCUACAAUGGUGGUGACAGUGGGCAGCGAGACCGCGAGGUCGAGCUAAUCUCCAAAAGCCAUCUCAGUUCGGAUUGCACUCUGCAACUCGAGUGCAUGAAGUUGGAAUCGCUAGUAAUCGCAGAUCAGCAUG
RNAcentral lists this ribosomal RNA (357 nucleotides) under Ensifer meliloti. Its description in RNAcentral is "Sinorhizobium meliloti bacterial SSU rRNA". It matches the Rfam family "Bacterial small subunit ribosomal RNA", at positions 1000 to 1356 of the family's 1533-position model. Lineage: Bacteria; Pseudomonadati; Pseudomonadota; Alphaproteobacteria; Hyphomicrobiales; Rhizobiaceae. The record is from RNAcentral.